CUUUGUGGCCAAACCUCCUUAUCAAAGCCUGAUUUUGUCAGAUUGCAGAAGCUAAGCAAGGCUGGGUCUGGUUAGUGCUUGGAUGGCAGACCGCUGGGAAUACCAGGUGCCAUAGUGU
This 118-nucleotide ribosomal RNA is filed under the name Periophthalmus magnuspinnatus. Lineage: Eukaryota; Metazoa; Chordata; Actinopteri; Gobiiformes; Gobiidae. The record is from RNAcentral.